Molecule: long non-coding RNA, 616 nt
Filed under: Gossypium barbadense (sea-island cotton)
Lineage: Eukaryota; Viridiplantae; Streptophyta; Magnoliopsida; Malvales; Malvaceae
Description: long non-coding RNA (GBAR_LNC001817)
Source: RNAcentral
UAUUGGGAAUUAUCCAUAUUUAUGGAAAAUCAAAGAUAUGGGUAUCAAAUAAUGGAAAGUCAAAGAUAUGGGUAUCAAAUAUUGGAAAGUCAAAGAUAUGGGUAUCGAGAUAUUGGCAUAAUAAAAUCUGAGAUAUUUGCAAUAUAUGGUCCCUAAAUUGUAAAGUGACUUUGCAAGUUGAUCCCUGAACCUCAACUAUAAAUAGGCAUAACCAUCUCUCAUUCUGUAUCUCAAACUUGCCAUUCUCUACUUAAGGCAUUGUUUUCUCUCUCUCUCUUUGUAAAUUCUCACUUGUAUUUUGGAGUGAAAUAUAUUUGGUAGUGCCCGAAGACGUAGGCAAAAUUUGCUGAACCUCGUUAAAUUCUUGUGUUCUUUAUUGUAUUAUUCUGCAUGAAUUGUGUGUGUGAUUGUAGUGAUUUAUUGUGCUAUUAAAUUACGAUUGAGGGAUAUUCUGGCUAGGAAAGACCUGGUACUUAAGCGAUCCUUGCGAUCCACCUCUCUUUCCUGGGAAUUGAACUUAGUGUGAUUUUUUAGUACAAUAAUUUUACUCUUUUACACGCUUCCGCACAACAAUUGGUAUCAGAGCUAGAUUCGUACUUAGGGAAUACGAUCGUUC